AUGCUGACAGUUAACCAGGGAUUGGAGCCUGCUAGUACUGUUGGAUCCAACUAGGUGAAGCACUACGUAGCAACUCCCAUAGGGUGCUUUUCAGUCUAUUGAGGUGUCAUCGAGUGUUCCCCAUCUCUCUUCCUUCAGAUUGAGGUUGGCCUAUUUUAUGGAUGUCAGUAUCUUUUUGGCAGGAACUUGAGCUACAUAAUGUCUCAACAUUUGGAGAUUCAGCACAAGGUGGGAAUCUCCCAGACCAUGAUCUGUGUUGGCAAGCAGCUGAGGAUGACAGCAUCCCUGUGGAGUAGAAUGACCACCCUUCAUCUCCAUGAUGGAAUGUGAUUUUUUUGAGGAUAUACAUUGUAUAUGAAGUGGAGAGAUUGAUACAAUCCACAGAGGAAAGAAUAUCUCAUAUAUGCC
RNAcentral lists this long non-coding RNA (408 nucleotides) under Solanum tuberosum (potato). Its description in RNAcentral is "long non-coding RNA (STUB_LNC007758)". Lineage: Eukaryota; Viridiplantae; Streptophyta; Magnoliopsida; Solanales; Solanaceae. The record is from RNAcentral.